CACACCCGUUCCCAUGCCGAACACGGAAGUUAAGCACUUGAACGCCGAAAGUAGUUGGGGGCUUCCCCCUGUGAGGAUAGGACGUUGCCAGGC
RNAcentral lists this ribosomal RNA (93 nucleotides) under Exiguobacterium artemiae. Lineage: Bacteria; Bacillati; Bacillota; Bacilli; Caryophanales. The record is from RNAcentral.